CCCGGGUGGCAGUGGGAAGCCGUGCUGCGGAGCGAAAUAAAGUAGCGAAGUCCGUGAGCCAUGCGUCAAGAAAAGCCGCUAUCGUUUAUACCGUACCCGUACCGUAAACCGACACAGGUGGAUGAGGAGAGAAUCCUAAGGCCGGCGGAAGAAGCAUUGUCAAGGAACUCGGCAAAAUGGCCCCGUAACUUAGGGAUAAGGGGUGCCUGGGAAACCAGGCCGCAGAGAAUAGGCUCAAGCAACUGUUUAGCAAAAACACAGGUCUAUGCGAAACCGAAAGGUGAGGUAUAUGGGCUGACGCCUGCCCGGUGCUGGAAGGUUAAGAGGAGAGGUUAGCGGCAACGCGAAGCUUUGAAUUUAAGCCCCAGUAAACGGCGGCCGUAACAAUAACGGUCCUAAGGUAGCGAAAUUCCUUGUCGGGUAAGUUCCGACCCGCACGAAAGGCGUAAUGAUUUGAGCGCUGUCUCGACAAUGCAUCCGGUGAAAUUGAAGUACCAGUGAAGAUGCUGGUUACCUGCGCAGGACGGAAAGACCCCAUGGAGCUUUACUCCAGUCUGGUACUGGGACUCGGUAUUGCAUGUACAGGAUAGGUGGGAGGCUGAGAAAUGGUAACGCCAGUUGCCAUGGAGCCGCUGUUGGGAUACCACCCUUGCAGUAUUGGGUUUCUAACCAGCCGCCGUGACCCGGCGGUGGGACAAUGCCAGACGGGAGUUUGACUGGGGCGGUCGCCUCCGAAAGGGUAUCGGAGGCGCCCAAAGGUUCCCUCAGAAUGGACGGAAACCAUUCGAAGAGUGCAAAGGCAGAAGGGAGCUUGACUGCGACACUGACGGGUGGAGCAGGUACGAAAGUAGGGCUUAGUGAUCCGGUGGUAUUAAGUGGGAAUGCCAUCGCUCAACGGAUAAAAGCUACCCUGGGAUAACAGGCUUAUCACUCCCAAGAGUUCACAUCGACGGAGUGGUUUGGCACCUCGAUGUCGGCUCAUCGCAUCCUGGGGCUGUAGUAGGUCCCAAGGGUUGGGCUGUUCGCCCAUUAAAGCGGUACGCGAGCUGGGUUCAGAACGUCGUGAGACAGUUCGGUCCCUAUCCGGCGUGGGCGUAGGAUAUCUGAGAGGAGCUGUCCUUAGUACGAGGGGACCGGAUGGACGGGCCGCUGGUGCAUCGGUUAGACUGCCAAGUCUACGGCCGAGUAGCCAAGCCCGGAAGGGAUAAACGCUGAAGGCAUCUAAGCGUGAAGCCCCCCUUAAGAUGAGAUAUCCCAUUCGAAAGAAGUAAACCCCCUUGAAGACGACGAGGUAGAUAGGGCAGAGGUGGAAGUGCAGCAAUGCAUGGAGCUGACUGUUACUAAUCGGGUGAGGGCUUGACA
This 1362-nucleotide ribosomal RNA is filed under the name metagenome. RNAcentral's name for it is "bacterial LSU rRNA". It matches the Rfam family "Bacterial large subunit ribosomal RNA", at positions 1542 to 2925 of the family's 2925-position model. The record is from RNAcentral.